AGUAUUUGGACUAGAAAUGGAAACUGAUAUGUCUAUAAUUUGCAUGUUUUCAGUGUCCAUUCAUCAUCGUUUUGAGUCCAGUUUCGUAUCAUUCAUCACUGUUUUAUAUCAUUUCUUAUCAUUCUUGCAUACUUUGCAUGAUUAGGAUAGCUUUGCAUACAUAUUGCAUUU
Molecule: small RNA, 171 nt
Filed under: Arabidopsis thaliana (thale cress)
Lineage: Eukaryota; Viridiplantae; Streptophyta; Magnoliopsida; Brassicales; Brassicaceae
Description: ATSL162760
Source: RNAcentral